This 497-nucleotide ribosomal RNA is filed under the name uncultured bacterium. RNAcentral describes it as "bacterial SSU rRNA". It matches the Rfam family "Bacterial small subunit ribosomal RNA", at positions 28 to 517 of the family's 1533-position model. The record is from RNAcentral.
GACGAACGCUGGCGGCGUGCUUAACACAUGCAAGUCGAACGGAACUCUUUGGAUCGAGACUUCGGUCAAGUGAAUCUGAGUUUAGUGGCGGACGGGUGAGUAACGCGUGAGGAACCUGCCUUUCAGAGGGGGACAACAGUUGGAAACGACUGCUAAUACCGCAUAACGCAUAUUGAUCGCAUGGUCGAUAUGCCAAAGAUUUAUCGCUGAAAGAUGGCCUCGCGUCUGAUUAGCUAGUUGGUGAGGUAACGGCCCACCAAGGCGACGAUCAGUAGCCGGACUGAGAGGUUGACCGGCCACAUUGGGACUGAGAUACGGCCCAGACUCCUACGGGAGGCAGCAGUGGGGAAUAUUGCACAAUGGGGGAAACCCUGAUGCAGCGACGCCGCGUGAGUGAAGAAGUAUUUCGGUAUGUAAAGCUCUAUCAGCAGGGAAGAAAAAUGACGGUAACCUGGACUAAGGAAAGCCCCCGGGCUAAACUAACGUGCCAGCAGCCG